UUCUCAUAUAAGGUACAAUGAUGACCUCAAGUCAAAGGACCAAUUUCACUACCGAGUGUUAGAGAUUAACCACUGACACUUAAAUAGUUAUCCAUGUGGAAUCUCGAAGCGAGUCUCCAAUGUUUUGUUCUAUAACAAAAUAUUCACGCGUUCAUUUAAGUGUCAUCACACUUUAACUUGUAAGAUCAGCUAUUUACUUCACAAGUAAGAAAUUCCACACAGGGUGGUCUAUCCGUAAUAAUGAUAUCCUCAUCUCGUUAUUACUUAUAACCAUGAAUUAUUUAAAGUCCAAUCAUAUGUAAUUUGUAUCUCACAAUCACAAUUCAUUAUAAUUUAUAAUUACUGAAACUUGAAUCUACGGACUUUAUUAUUUAAUACUAUUCAUCAGAUUAUUAAUUUAAAUAAAUAAUAGAUCUUACCAAAAAUAAAUGGAUUAAAUAUAUUAAAAAUGUUUACAACCUAAAUAGAGCGAAAAAUACUAAGAAUUAUUUAGGCGUACUAUUACUGGGGUUUGACUUGUCAUUCUUUUAGAGAGAACUUUAUUCAAGACCUAAAUUAUGUAUGAUUUUAAUGUUCAAAACAUGAUAUAAUUACAAUGUAUUGACAAGAAUAUAAUAAUUUUGUUGUACACUUAGUAAUUAUCCUUAUAUAGUGCGGGUAAAAUUUCAAUAAUAAAAAAUGGAGUUACAAAAUAAAUAGGAAAAUAACGAAAUCUAACAGACUAAAAGCCGAGGAUUUCUUGCUCUCUUUAAGGAGAUUCAAGCCUUUUGUGGUUGGCAAAGCUUAAAACACGGUGCAGAUGAACUUCUGUAUGACUUAUUUUAUCUAGGAUUUAACAGCCCAACUAUUUGUUGUAUAACUCAAACAAACUCUACACAAGUAGUUUAGCUCAAAACUCCACUAAAAGAACGCCAUUCUUUGCUCAAUAAUCUCCCAAAGAAAAUGAGUGAAAAUGUAAUGAGAAGAUAAGAGACUUGUGAUUGUGUGGUGUUAAUGAAUGAUCCUAUUUAUAGGUAAAAAUAGACCACCCAAAAUAAAAAGAUGUCAAAAACACUUGAAGGUUACAUAUUCAAUUCCCAACUUUUCAUCUUUCAUUUUCCAUAGAAUCUGCGAAACCGCGACCGCUAGAGCCCCUAAAUCUCCUGUUGCUGGCUGAAUGACGGGUAGGACAACCGCAAGUGUAUCUUGAGAUGGUUGUUUGCAUCUGACUUCCGUUGGGUUGAGAGUGGGAUCGUGGCUCUCUGUGAUUGACUUUAUAAGAGGGUCAUCAUUGCGGCCAACUAAGCCUCCAGAGUGUUGAAUUAGAUUUGUGUCUCAUAUUGCAACGACAAUGACCUUUGAGACUGACUCCGACUCUAUCUCCAUCAUGUCCCCGCCCAAGCAUGUGUCACUCCUCUUUCGUCUUCUUAACAUAGCUUUUCUAUUUAGUGAAUGGUUCCUACAAACGGUGCCAAUGAAAUAGUUAUGAAACAAACCUCUAUGUCCUGUAGUGGCACAAGGUGUUUUUGCUACUCCAAUGAACAAAUAUUACCAACAAAAUGAGGUUGAAACUUUCUCCCUCAUUAUACCUCUGGUGUGAGAAUUAGUAUGGGAUAUAAGGACGUAAACUUAGGAAGGAAAGAUAGAAUGGGUAUUAAGAUAGCCAGAUUUUUCCAAGAUCCAUACCUAUUUUGCCUUAGAAGUAUUUAUUGGUAAUUGGAACCAUGUAACUACUGGGCGAUUAUAGUGCCAUGUGUCUCACGUAUUCCUUUCCACUACUCCCACAUUCUGAGAGUGGGACCUCCACCAGUCUAGCAAUUGAUUGUGUCUGUGAUUACCGAUAAAUGAUCCUCACCCAAUUUAAUGAUGAUUUUACGGUUAUACUGGUAUAUGACCUCAUAGUUGUUGACAGCCUCAGCAUUAACGUAGAGGACCUCAUAGUGAUUGAUGGGCUCAGAUGGAUGUAGAAGGCCUUAUAGUGGUCGACGGUCCAACAUGGAUGUGAGGGCUUAUUGCAUAGCAUCCACCUUAUUGGUGAUUAUAAACAAUUAUUUAUGCCAUCCAAUAUCAUCUAGUUUCAGGAAAAUCACUGAGCUAGUUCCAUUUGGGGAUUAAUCCAAUUCUAGGGGGCAUUAACAUUUCUGGGAAGCCGAUCCAUUUACAUAGACAUAAUAGGCAGUUUUUUCAAUGUAGCUGCAUUAGGCUACGAAGCCCUUCGUCCAAUUGGUUUCGACUUCACUCUUUACUAUGUUGGAAAUAUAAAGCUUAUCUCAAUUGUUGUUAUUAAACAAGGAAAUGACUUUUUCAACUUGCUGUUUUGCUUCCUAAAGGUGAAGGGGGCCUAACUUAUUGUUCUCAAGCUUGGUGCGAAAUAAAAGGAUUGUAUUUGAUCUAUAUAAGUUAAUUGGGAGGUGGUUUUUACAAUAAUAAUCUUUCUUACUAAAUAAGUAAAAUCGAGGGGUAGAAAAUCGAGGUUAGAUCUACCCCUCUUUCUACCGAUUUUUUUAUUUGACCUUCUAUAGAUAACCUUGAUUUUGAUCUACCACGGCAAAAAAAUAAUAUUAAUAUGGUUAUCAAUGGCCUGAUGUCAUCUAGCUGUCUAUCUAUUCGUAUUUUUUGUUGAAAUACCAUCUGAGGAGAUACAUUACCAACAGCAGUAGGCAUGGAGGUCUUUUUUAACUCCGUAUGUGAAAGAUGGAAAAAUCAAACCAAUGAAGAGCUUGAGGGCAGACUCAACAUGUGGAUGGUUAGUGACAACCCUUCUUACCUUUGAUAACAGUCGAGUAAAAUGGCUUAUGAGAUGGAAGGCUAAAGAUAGAGGAGCUAUAAAUGGUUAAAUACCAAUUGGGAAAAAGAUGCAAUGUUUUCCCUGUCCUAUCAAUUGGCAAUGAUAUCUCUACAAUGAUAUCUCUAUCUUCUGCCACUGCAAGACAUAAUAGAGUUUACAUAUAUUGAUUGGCUUUCUCUCCUAUUAGUGGGCCUUCCAAAUUCUUUUCUAUUUAAUGAUUUCCAAAAACAUUGAAAGAGUUAUUUAUUUUAUAUAUUGUAAUUCUUUCUAUUUAAUUUCUAAUUGUAUUGUUCCAUCAGUCACAUUAUUCAAGUUUGAAUGGCCGGUCUAAGACAGACUUAUAUUGUCUAUUUAUG
RNAcentral lists this long non-coding RNA (3123 nucleotides) under Olea europaea subsp. europaea. Lineage: Eukaryota; Viridiplantae; Streptophyta; Magnoliopsida; Lamiales; Oleaceae. The record is from RNAcentral.